CUGGUUGAUCCUGCCAGUAGUCAUAUGCUUGUCUAACAGGACUAAGCCAUGCAUGUCUAAGUAUAAGCAAUUAUACUUGUGAAACUGCGAAUGGCUCAUUAAAUCAGUUAUAGUUUAUUUGAUAUUUUCUUGCUACAUGGAUACCGGUGGCAAAGUACCGCUAAUACAUGCAAACAACCCCGCAAGGGGUGUAUUUAUUAGAUACGCAAACCAACCUGGCUUGCCAGAGUAUGCUGAAUCAUAAUAACUUCACGAAUCGCAUGGCCUUGUGCUGGCGAUGAAUCAUUCAAAUUUCUGCCCUAUCAACUUUUGAUGGUAGGAUAGAGGCCUACCAUGGUUAUGACGGGUAACGGAGAAUUAGGGUUCGAUUCCGGAGAGGGAGCCUGAGAAAUGGCUACCACAUCCAAGGAAGGCAGCAGGCGCGCAAAUUGCCCAAUCUCGAUACGAGGAGGCAGCGACAAGAAGUAACAGUGCGGGGCUUUUUCAAGUCUCGUAAUUGGAAUGAGUACAAUUUAAACACCUUAACAAGGAUCAAUUGGAGGAAAAGUCUGGUGCCA
This 557-nucleotide ribosomal RNA is filed under the name uncultured eukaryote. RNAcentral describes it as "SSU rRNA". It matches the Rfam family "Eukaryotic small subunit ribosomal RNA", at positions 4 to 569 of the family's 1831-position model. The record is from RNAcentral.